Molecule: ribosomal RNA, 409 nt
Filed under: uncultured Lactobacillus sp.
Lineage: Bacteria; Bacillati; Bacillota; Bacilli; Lactobacillales; Lactobacillaceae
Description: bacterial SSU rRNA
Rfam family: Bacterial small subunit ribosomal RNA
Source: RNAcentral
GGGAUCAUCCUGCUCCUCAAAGAUUAGGAGUUCCCUUCGGGAACCCUAAUACAGGUGGUGCAUGGCUGUCGUCAGCUCGUGUCGUGAGAUGUUGGGUUAAGUCCCGCAACGAGCGCAACCCUUGUUGUUAGUUGCCAGCAUUAAGUUGGGCACUCUAAUGAGACUGCCGGUGAUAAACCGGAGGAAGGUGGGGAUGACGUCAAGUCAUCAUGCCCCUUAUGACCUGGGCUACACACGUGCUACAAUGGACGGUACAACGAGAAGCGAGACUGCGAAGGUAAGCUAAUCUCUGAAAACUGUUCUCAGUUCGGACUGCAGGCUGCAACUCGACUGCACGAAGCUGGAAUCGCUAGUAAUCGCGGAUCAGAACGCCGCGGUGAAUACGUUCCCGGGUCUUGUACACACCGAA